This 468-nucleotide ribosomal RNA is filed under the name uncultured bacterium. Its description in RNAcentral is "partial 16S ribosomal RNA". It matches the Rfam family "Bacterial small subunit ribosomal RNA", at positions 28 to 507 of the family's 1533-position model. The record is from RNAcentral.
GACGAACGCUGGCGGCGUGCUUAACACAUGCAAGUCGAACGGAAAGGCCCUGCUUUUGUGGGGUGCUCGAGUGGCGAACGGGUGAGUAACACGUGAGUAACCUGCCCUUGACUUUGGGAUAACUUCAGGAAACUGGGGCUAAUACCGGAUAGGAGCUCCUGCUGCAUGGUGGGGGUUGGAAAGUUUCGGCGGUUGGGGAUGGACUCGCGGCUUAUCAGCUUGUUGGUGGGGUAGUGGCUUACCAAGGCUUUGACGGGUAGCCGGCCCGAGAGGGUGACCGGCCACAUUGGGACUGAGAUAUGGCCCAGACUCCUACGGGAGGCAGCAGUGGGGAAUAUUGCACAAUGGGCGGAAGCCUGAUGCAGCAACGCCGCGUGCGGGAUGACGGCCUUCGGGUUGUAAACCGCUUUCGCCUGUGACGAAGCGUGAGUGACGGUAAUGGGUAAAGAAGCACCGGCUAACUACGUG